UACGGAGGGUGCAAGCGUUAUCCGGAUUCACUGGGUUUAAAGGGUGCGUAGGUGGGAAUGUAAGUCAGUGGUGAAAUCUCCGUGCUUAACAUGGAAACUGCCAUUGAUACUAUGUUUCUUGAAUUUUCUGGAGGUAAGCGGAAUAUGUCAUGUAGCGGUGAAAUGCUUAGAUAUGACAUAGAACACCAAUUGCGAAGGCAGCUUGCUACAGGGAUAUUGACACUGAGGCACGAAAGCGUG
Molecule: ribosomal RNA, 240 nt
Filed under: uncultured bacterium
Lineage: Bacteria
Description: partial 16S ribosomal RNA
Rfam family: Bacterial small subunit ribosomal RNA
Source: RNAcentral